RNAcentral lists this long non-coding RNA (1011 nucleotides) under Panax ginseng (ginseng). RNAcentral describes it as "long non-coding RNA (PGIN_LNC005877)". The record is from RNAcentral. Lineage: Eukaryota; Viridiplantae; Streptophyta; Magnoliopsida; Apiales; Araliaceae.
AAAAUAAAAUAAAAUGGCUCUGUGCUUAUGCUACCUUUACAAGGGAUGCAAGUCAUGAAAAGAUUCAGUUGAACACAAAGCAGGACCAUGUAAUAAAAGAACUCCAUAUUGUAAAUACAAAUAACAAACCAGCUGCAAACUUUACAUAUACAUACAAUCUGAGAAAACAUGCCACAGCAGAUUCAGUCUACUGUCAACAUGCAAGCAUAUACAUUCGUAAACUGAACUCUGCAUAAAAGAACUCGACUUCAUUUAAACGAGCUUCUGCAUUCUAUCCGCUUAUAUCAUAUACUCACGCAAAGGAGAGAAAUUCUAGCAACUUAAAUCCGUUAGAAGCUGCCACACUCUUAUACACAGGACGAGUAUUUUACUGUUGGUUGUAGUUGGCAUGAGGAAGUUGCAAAGAUUUCCUGUUGACCCUGCAGUUAUAACCAUUCAAAAUGAGACGCAAGUUGGAAUCAAAUGGAAGCGUAAAAAUGCUGGUACUAGAUAGAAAAACAGUUCAACUACCUAUUUAACUUUCUAUACAGAUGGAAUUGCAUCCCUGCGCUUAUCAGCAUGGAGAUUAAUAAAAGGGGCUACUAGAUUUAACCCUCAACAGUAUCCACGGCAUAUGAUGAGAUUAUUCUUCUCUGCAUCAAUCAUCAAGAGAAAAAAGAAAUGAUUAACAUGAGUAGGAGAUAAUAUCUUCUCCAGCACCAACGCGGAGCUAGUCAUUCACCAAAGGCAGGAAUUGCUCCUCAGAACCAUAUCUUAUUAGCAAUUUUAUGUAUUUUUAAGAAAAAGAGUCUCACAGUGCGCUAUUAUGGAAGCUUGAACCGCUUAAUUGAAAAAAACAUAGUCAUUAUUACUUUCCUUCUUGGCAUAAGGAUUAGAAUGUUGAAUCUUGCCUCUUAGUAAAAACCCAAAUCCACGCUUAUUGAUUCAUUUAUUGGGGGAGACCAGGGAGCCCGUGCCACCUUGUGCGCACACAAAAAGGUCUCCUACUCACUGGAACUACAUGCUUAUCCA